GACGAACGCUGGCGGCGUGCUUAACACAUGCAAGUCGAACGGAAAGGCCCUGCUUUUGUGGGGUGCUCGAGUGGCGAACGGGUGAGUAACACGUGAGUAACCUGCCCUUGACUUUGGGAUAACUUCAGGAAACUGGGGCUAAUACCGGAUAGGAGCCCCUGCUGCAUGGUGGGGGUUGGAAAGUUUGGGCGGUUGGGGAUGGAUUCGCGGCUUAUCAGCUUGUUGGUGGGGUAGUGGCUUACCAAGGCUUUGACGGGUAGCCGGCCUGGGAGGGUGACCGGCCACAUUGGGACUGAGAUACGGACCAGACUCCUACGGGAGGCAGCAGUGGGGAAUAUUGCACAAUGGGCGGAAGCCUGAUGCAGCAACGCCGCGUGCGGGAUGACGGCCUUCGGGUUGUAAACCGCUUUCGCCUGUGACGAAGCGUGAGUGACGGUAAUGGGUAAAGAAGCACCGGCUAACUACGUG
Molecule: ribosomal RNA, 468 nt
Filed under: uncultured bacterium
Lineage: Bacteria
Description: partial 16S ribosomal RNA
Rfam family: Bacterial small subunit ribosomal RNA
Source: RNAcentral